This 492-nucleotide ribosomal RNA is filed under the name uncultured bacterium. Its description in RNAcentral is "partial 16S ribosomal RNA". It matches the Rfam family "Bacterial small subunit ribosomal RNA", at positions 29 to 507 of the family's 1533-position model. The record is from RNAcentral.
AGUGAACGCUGGCGGUAGGCCUAACACAUGCAGGUCGAACGGCAGCACAGUAAGAGCUUGCUCUUACGGGUGGCGAGUGGCGGACGGGUGAGGAAUACAUCGGAAUCUACUUUUUCGUGGGGGAUAACGUAGGGAAACUUACGCUAAUACCGCAUACGACCUACGGGUGAAAGCAGGGGAUCUUCGGACCUUGCGCGAUUGAAUGAGCCGAUGUCGGAUUAGCUAGUUGGCGGGGUAAAGGCCCACCAAGGCGACGAUCCGUAGCUGGCCUGAGAGGAUGAUCAGCCACACUGGAACUGAGACACGGUCCAGACUCCUACGGGAGGCAGCAGUGGGGAAUAUUGGACAAUGGGCGCAAGCCUGAUCCAGCCAUACCGCGUGGGUGAAGAAGGCCUUCGGGUUGUAAAGCCCUUUUGUUGGGAAAGAAAAGCAGCAGGUUAAUACCCCGCUGUUCUGACGGUACCCAAGGAAUAAGCACCGGCUAACUUCGUG